This 443-nucleotide ribosomal RNA is filed under the name uncultured bacterium. RNAcentral describes it as "partial 16S ribosomal RNA". It matches the Rfam family "Bacterial small subunit ribosomal RNA", at positions 338 to 795 of the family's 1533-position model. The record is from RNAcentral.
CCUACGGGAGGCAGCCGUGGGGAAUAUUUGGCAAUGGAGGCAACUCUGACCCAGCAACGCCGCGUGAUUGAUGAAGGUCUUCGGAUUGUAAAACUCUUUAAGUGGGUACGCAGCAAGUGACUGUACCCACAGAAUAAGCCUCUGCUAACUACGUGCCAGCAGCCGCGGUAAUACGUAGGAGGCAAGCGUUAUCCGGAAUGACUGGGCGUACAGGGUGCGUAGGUGGUUUGGCAAGUUAGUAGCGUAAUUCCGGGGCUCAACUUCGGAACUACUACUAAAACUGCUGGGCUUGAGUGCAGGAGGGGCAUAUGGAAUGCCUAGUGGAGCGGUGGAAUGCGUAGAUAUUAGGAGGAACACCAGUGGCGAAGGCGAUAGGCUGGACUGUAACUGACACUGAGGCACGAAAGCGUGGGGAGCAAACAGGAUUAGAUACCCUGGUAGUC